GGUGGCUCAAUGGUAGAGCACUUGCCUUGUGCAUGCAUGAGGCCCUGGGUUCGAUUCCUCAGCACCA
Non-coding RNA from Dipodomys ordii (Ord's kangaroo rat), 67 nucleotides. The record is from Rfam. NCBI's taxonomy places the organism in Eukaryota, Metazoa, Chordata, Mammalia, Rodentia, Heteromyidae.